AUUGAACGCUGGCGGCAUGCUUUACACAUGCAAGUCGAACGGCAGCGGGGAGGAGCUUGCUUCUCUGCCGGCGAGUGGCGACCGGGUGAGUAAUACAUCGGAACGUGUCGAGAAGAGGGGGAUAACCACCCGAAAGGGUGGCUAAUACCGCAUAAAUUCUGAGGAAGAAAGCUGGGGACCUAGGAAUAGGCCUAGCGCUUUUUGAGCGGCCGAUGUCGGAUUAGCUAGUUGGUGAGGUAAAGGCUCACCAAGGCGAAGAUCUGUAGCGGGUCUGAGAGGAUGAUCCGCCACACUGGGACUGAGACACGGCCCAGACUCCUACGGGAGGCAGCAGUGGGGAAUUUUGGACAAUGGGGGCAACCCUGAUCCAGCCAUGCCGCGUGUAUGAAGAAGGCCUUAGGGUUGUAAAGUACUUUUGUUAGGGAAGAAAAGUCAGCUGUGAAUAAUGGCUGAUACUGACGGUACCUAAAGAAUAAGCACCGGCUAACUACGUG
This 494-nucleotide ribosomal RNA is filed under the name uncultured bacterium. RNAcentral's name for it is "partial 16S ribosomal RNA". It matches the Rfam family "Bacterial small subunit ribosomal RNA", at positions 30 to 507 of the family's 1533-position model. The record is from RNAcentral.